Molecule: ribosomal RNA, 329 nt
Filed under: uncultured eukaryote
Lineage: Eukaryota
Description: partial 18S ribosomal RNA
Rfam family: Eukaryotic small subunit ribosomal RNA
Source: RNAcentral
CCCUUAGAUGUUCUGGGCCGCACGCGCGCUACACUGAUGCUUUCAACGAGUCUAAAACCUGCUCUGAUAGGGGUGGGUAAUCUUUUGAAUGUGCAUCGUGAUUGGGAUAGAUGAUUGCAAUUUUUCAUCUUCAACGAGGAAUGCCUAGUAAACGCAAGUCAUCAGCUUGCAUUGAUUACGUCCCUGCCCUUUGUACACACCGCCCGUCGCUCCUACCGAUUGAAUGAUCCGAUGAAUAUCAUGGAUUGAGGAUGCAAGCAGGUUCGCCUGUCUUCAUCUUCGAGAAGUGAAGUAAAUCUUAUCAUUUAGAGGAAGGAGAAGUCGUAACA